UACUUAAAAUACUUGAAAUUUUUGCACCAAAUGGGUUUCUUCAACUCAACAAAAAUACUUCAACUUCACACAUUGCAAGGAUCAGUUUGGUUUCAUUUUUUCAGCGUCCAUUUUUCCACUGAAUAAUUGAAAUACCAAGAUAAAAAUGGUUCGAAGUAUCGUUUGUCUAAUAAUCGUUUUGGCGAGUGUUGCAUCUGCAGACGAGAACGCGACUAACUUGGUUCCCUCGCCUCGACUCCUAGUCACCAAUAAACGAGGAAUUGAAAGAAACCUCAAAAUGGAACGACUAAUUCUGCCCAGCUCACAGCUCGAAAAAAGUGUGGUCCCAGUUGGAUCAGAAGACAAGGACGAGGACGAGGACGAAACUUUUAUAAGGCCACCGAUUGAGAACGCAUAUGUCGCGUAGUUCCAUUCCAAUAUACGCUCCGAAACCUUACAUUAACAUUCCGAUACGUUUGAAAAGUAAAGCUGAAAAGAUCUAUCAAUGUAUUCUAAGUGAAGAUCGCAAAAAUCUCUGUGGGAUGGAAUGGGGGAUGGUUUGAUUUUAUAUCCUUGCUCGUUAAACUGUAUGUUCCUCGAUUGUAUUCGCCGCCUGGGGUUGAGUUAAUAAUUAGAUGGGAGUGGAUAAAUCAAAAACAUGUAUUUUUUUCAGA
Symsagittifera roscoffensis is the source of this 653-nucleotide long non-coding RNA. RefSeq lists it as uncharacterized. The record is from RefSeq and is a predicted model, not a curated record. The transcript is spliced from 2 exons. Lineage: Eukaryota; Metazoa; Xenacoelomorpha; Acoela; Convolutidae.